RNAcentral lists this ribosomal RNA (492 nucleotides) under uncultured bacterium. RNAcentral describes it as "partial 16S ribosomal RNA". It matches the Rfam family "Bacterial small subunit ribosomal RNA", at positions 29 to 507 of the family's 1533-position model. The record is from RNAcentral.
AGUGAACGCUGGCGGUAGGCCUAACACAUGCAAGUCGAACGGCAGCACAGUAAGAGCUUGCUCUUACGGGUGGCGAGUGGCGGACGGGUGAGGAAUACAUCGGAAUCUACUUUUUCGUGGGGGAUAACGUAGGGAAACUUACGCUAAUACCGCAUACGACCUACGGGUGAAAGCAGGGGAUCUUCGGACCUUGCGCGAUUGAAUGAGCCGAUGUCGGAUUAGCUAGUUGGCGGGGUAAAGGCCCACCAAGGCGACGAUCCGUAGCUGGUCUGAGAGGAUGAUCAGCCACACUGGAACUGAGACACGGUCCAGACUCCUACGGGAGGCAGCAGUGGGGAAUAUUGGACAAUGGGCGCAAGCCUGAUCCAGCCAUACCGAGUGGGUGAAGAAGGCCUUCGGGUUGUAAAGCCCUUUUGUUGGGAAAGAAAAGCAGCAGGUUAAGACCACGCUGUUCUGACGGUACCCAAAGAAUAAGCACCGGCUAACUUCGUG